UUCCUCUUUUCUCCCUGAAAACCGAUCUGUAUCCUUCGUCCGUCUACCCAUUUCUUCUUCUGCUCUUUCACCUAAGAUCUCCCUCUCUUCACUCACCCAACCGGCGGCACCUAACCCAAGCACUCUAACCUCCAAUCGGCGACACCUCCCCAAGAACUUCCUUUUCUUCUUCCUCUUUUGCCCAACUGGCACUACCCAAGCUUCUCUACCCUCCAACUGGUCCAAAUCCCUCCAAAGAAAUUAGAUAUAAAACUCAAAAACCAUAGGAUGAAAAGGAACCCUUUCCCUUCCGAUUUCCUAUUUUUCUGAAAUUUUAUGUAUAUAUAUAUUUUUUUGUUGUGGGUAUUGGUUGCUAGUUUAGGCUUUUUUGGUGGUUGAUUUGUGGUUUUUUUUUUGUUGUUUGAAUCUGGUUUUUUUUUUGAAAGAUUGGUUUCUUUUUUUUAUCAUUUUCUUUUAUUUAAUAGUUAUCACAUUUUAGACUCAAUUUUUUGAGUUGCUGUCUUCGAUUUUAGGCCAAUGAAGCUGGCAUUGUGAAGGUUGCUUGGAUCCCUCCUAAGUAUGGGGAUGUUGUUGCAUUUGUGAAGAUGGAAGUUUAUUCAUAUGGGAAGAGCUUGUAGAAGGUAAACAACCUUUAAAGGGUGAGGGCCAAGAAUCAAGCUUUAUUUUGGGUUUCACUUCUAAUACUCCACAGCUCAAUUCCCUCAAGAGUUCCAUAGGUGUGGGAAUUUGAUCCAGCUCAUCAAAAAUGGCUGCCAGUAGCAGAUAUGGCUGCCAGUAGCAGAGUUGGCUUUGCCUGGUGACAAGGGAGAUCAAGUUUAUUCUGUUGCAUGGGCACCAAACAUUGGACGGUAAUGGAACCAUUGUGCUUAUCAACUUGCGAAACCAGGAAUGAGAUGCAACACUUUAUUGAUUGCUUGGCUUUGAUUCUGGUUAUGAAAAUAGAAAGAACUUGCUGUUAUGAUUGUUGUUUGUUGCCUCUUUGUUUUGAUUUUGGCCAUGAUUCUAUUAUGAUGAGGCGUUAUUUGGGUUGUUUCUUUCAAUGUAAUUAAACUGGUUGCAUGAGCCUUUCUUGCUAGCUUGUUAUCCACUACUUUGUAAUUUACAUUCUAAUAAUGAAAAUGCAUGAAUGACUAAAUUUUGAAUUUCGGAUUUUAA
Molecule: small RNA, 1155 nt
Filed under: Theobroma cacao (cacao)
Lineage: Eukaryota; Viridiplantae; Streptophyta; Magnoliopsida; Malvales; Malvaceae
Description: sRNA Tc03v2_g013650
Source: RNAcentral